Molecule: ribosomal RNA, 500 nt
Filed under: uncultured Chloroflexota bacterium
Lineage: Bacteria; Bacillati; Chloroflexota
Description: bacterial SSU rRNA
Rfam family: Bacterial small subunit ribosomal RNA
Source: RNAcentral
UAGGGAAUAUUGCACAAUGGGCGAAAGCCUGAUGCAGCAACGCCGCGUGCACGAUGAAGGCCUUCGGGUCGUAAAGUGCUUUUCUGGGAGAUGAGAAAGGACAGUAUCCCAGGAAUAAGUCUCGGCUAACUACGUGCCAGCAGCCGCGGUAAAACGUAGGAGGCGAGCGUUAUCCGGAUUCACUGGGCGUAAAGCGCGUGCAGGUGGCUUGGUAAGUUAGGCGUGAAAUCUCCCGGCUCAACUGGGAGAGGUCGUCUAAUACUACCGGGCUAGAGAACAGAAGAGGAAGAUGGAAUUCCCGGUGUAGUGGUGAAAUGCGUAGAUAUCGGGAGGAACACCAGUGGCGAAGGCGAUCUUCUGGACCGUUUCUGACGCUCAGACGCGACAGCUAGGGUAGCAAACGGGAUUAGAGACCCCGGUAGUCCUAGCCGUAAACGAUGUGAACUUGGCGUCGGUGGGUUAAACACUAUCGGUGCCGCAGCAAACGCGAUAAGUUCACC